UACGGGGGGGGCAAGCGUUGUUCGGAAUUACUGGGCGUAAAGGGCGCGUAGGCGGCCCUGGUAAGUCUGCGGUGAAAGCCCGGGGCUCAACCCCGGGUCGGCCGCGGGUACUGCCGGGCUGGAGUGCCGUAGGGGCAGGCGGAAUUCCGGGUGUAGCGGUGGAAUGCGUAGAGAUCCGGAAGAACACCGGUGGCGAAGGCGGCUCUCUGGGCCUUACCUGACGCUGAGGAGCGAAAGCGUGGGUAGCGAACAGG
RNAcentral lists this ribosomal RNA (254 nucleotides) under uncultured bacterium. RNAcentral describes it as "partial 16S ribosomal RNA". It matches the Rfam family "Bacterial small subunit ribosomal RNA", at positions 524 to 776 of the family's 1533-position model. The record is from RNAcentral.